Molecule: long non-coding RNA, 510 nt
Organism: Drosophila kikkawai
Lineage: Eukaryota; Metazoa; Arthropoda; Insecta; Diptera; Drosophilidae
Source: RefSeq, a predicted model, not a curated record
UUUAAACUUGUUUUCGUCUUGUGCUUAGUUCAGUUUAGUUUUAGCUUUGUUGAAAGACGGAGCUCUUCGUAAAAUAUUCAAAAUUAUAUAUUACAAAAAAUUUUGGAACAUUUCUCAAACAAAAUUUGGUGGAAAAAGCUUUUGCAAAAGUGAUGAAAAGUCAAAAUUUUUCCAACAGCUUCGCUACCUUCUUGAUUCGUCAGGUUCUCCCUUUUGACGUUACCAAAGGGCUUUUUUAGGGAGAAGUCAAUGUGCUUCUGGGAAUCCAUGCGCACCAAGGAUAAAGGAAUAUGGAUUAUGAAUUAGGGCAAAUACCAUAUUCUCCAAUGAUCUUCAACUCCUGAUCCAUAGCGGCAACUGGGAUUCACUUAGGUCUUCCAAAAGACCGAAGGAAUGCGGCUGUACACCAUGGUUUCAACAAUUCAAGCCAGCAGUUUUAGAUGAAGUGAACAAAAAGAAAGAAUGUUUUUAUAUAUUUUUUACAAUAAUAUAUAUUUUUUAAAAUUAUAA